UGUAGUCCCCGCCCGCCCUCAAUCACGGCCGCGGUCAUGGCUCCCGCGCUCCUGCUCGUCUUCGCGUUCGCGCUGCUCGGAGGCCUCGGCCGGGGCCAGGAUUUCGACCUCUCGGACGUGCUCGACGAACCGAAGAAGCCGACGUCGCCGCCCAAGAAGCCUCCGCCGUCGGGCGGAGACCUGGACCUGAGCGACGCCCUGGGAGGCGGAGACGACCCCGCCCCCCCGCCACCCAGGCCCAAGCCGAAACCGGAUCACGAGUCCGAGCUCUCGGGAGGCGACUUCUCCAACAAGGACUUGGAAGACGCCGCUGGGGGCAAAGGUGGAGGCCAAGGACCCCAAGGGGAGGAGGAGCCUGAGGCGGACGGCUCCGCCCCCCAGGGCCUGGUCCCCGGCCUCAUCGGGGCCGCGGUGGCCGCGGUUGCUGGCGCCGUCUCGAGCUUCGUGGCCUACCAGAGGCGGAGGCUGUGCUUCCAGGAGCACGGCUCCGCCCCCGUCUAGGGCCCCGCCCCCCUGCCGCGAUGACAUCCAGCACCAAGCGACCAAGCAACCGAACUCCUACGCAGCCGCCAAAGCCCCGCCCACGCCCGGCCCCGCCUCCCCUGCGUCGUUUGCAUAUCGUUUGCAUUCCCGUGAGCCCAGGCUGGACCCCGGGGCCCCUGUGAAGUCGUGACCCCUGCGUGACCCCGCCGCUGCCACCGUCGUAAUAAACGCUUUGCCCCCCCCAGCC
This is an RNA transcript of Microtus oregoni (creeping vole), 730 nucleotides long. It is a transcript of the gene named CD99 antigen-like, with no coding region annotated. The record is from RefSeq and is a predicted model, not a curated record. Lineage: Eukaryota; Metazoa; Chordata; Mammalia; Rodentia; Cricetidae. The transcript is spliced from 10 exons.